GACGAACGCUGGCGGCAUGCCUAAUACAUGCAAGUCGAACGAUGAUAUCACUGCUUGCAGUGAUUGAUUAGUGGCGAACGGGUGAGUAACACGUGAGGAACUUGCCCAUGAGCGGGGGACAACAUUCGGAAACGGAUGCUAAUACCCCAUAGGUGGAUUGGUCGCAUGACUAAUUCAUUAAAGGUGGCUCUGCUACCACUCAUGGAUAGCCUCGCGGCGUAUUAGCUAGUUGGUAAGGUAAUGGCUUACCAAGGCAGUGAUACGUAGCCGACUUGAGAGGAUGAUCAGCCAGACUGGGACUGAGACACGGCCCAGACUCCUACGGGAGGCAGCAGUGAGGAAUCUUCCACAAUGGGCGAAAGCCUGAUGGAGCAACGCCGCGUGCAGGAUGAAGGCCUUCGGGUUGUAAACUGCUUUUAUAAGUGAGGAAUAUGACGGUAACUUAUGAAUAAGGAUCGGCUAACUACGUGCCAGCAGCCGCGGUCAUACGUAGGAUCCGAGCGUUAUCCGGAGUGACUGGGCGUAAAGAGUUGCGUAGGCGGUUUGUUAAGCGAAUAGUGAAACCUGGUGGCUCAACCAUACAGACUAUUAUUCGAACUGGCAAACUCGAGAGUGGUAGAGGUCACUGGAAUUUCUUGUGUAGGAGUGAAAUCCGUAGAUAUAAGAAGGAACACCGAUGGCGUAGGCAGGUGACUAGACCAUUUCUGACGCUAAGGCACGAAAGCGUGGGGAGCGAACCGGAUUAGAUACCCGGGUAGUCCACGCCGUAAACGAUGGAUACUAGCUGUUGGAGGUAUCGACCCCUUCAGUAGCGAAGCUAACGCGUUAAGUAUCCCGCCUGUGGAGUACGGCCGCAAGGCUAAAACAUAAAGGAAUUGACGGGGACCCGCACAAGCGGUGGAUCGUGUUCUUUAAUUCGAUGAUAAACGAAGAACCUUACCAGGGCUUGACAUCCAGGGAAGGUCUGCGAAAGCGGACUGUGCCUUUUGGAACCCUGUGACAGGUGCUGCAUGGCCGUCGUCAGCUCGUGUCGUGAGAUGUUUGGUUAAGUCCAUCAACGAGCGCAACCCUUGCAACUAGUUGGAUUUUUCUAGUUGGACUGCCCCGGUAACGGGGAGGAAGGAGGGGAUGAUGUCAGGUCAGUAUUGCCCUUACGUCCUGGGCUAGAAACACGAUACAAUGGCUAGUACAAUGCGCAGCGAAGCCGCAAGGUGGAGCAAAUCGCAUCAAAGCUAGUCCCAGUUCGGAUUGGAGGCUGAAACUCGCCUCCAUGAAGUCGGAAUCGCUAGUAAUCGCAGAUCAGCAAGCUGCGGUGAAUACGUUCCCGGGUCU
Molecule: ribosomal RNA, 1332 nt
Filed under: uncultured bacterium
Lineage: Bacteria
Description: bacterial SSU rRNA
Rfam family: Bacterial small subunit ribosomal RNA
Source: RNAcentral